This 57-nucleotide transfer RNA is filed under the name Tritonia iocasica. RNAcentral describes it as "tRNA-Ser". The record is from RNAcentral. Lineage: Eukaryota; Metazoa; Mollusca; Gastropoda; Nudibranchia; Tritoniidae.
UAGAAAUAAUAUAGUUUAAACUGCUAAUUUAAAUUUGGGGAGUUUCUCCAUUUCUAA